CGGCCUAACUGGAGCCCUGUCU
Molecule: microRNA, 22 nt
Filed under: Xenopus tropicalis (tropical clawed frog)
Lineage: Eukaryota; Metazoa; Chordata; Amphibia; Anura; Pipidae
Description: Xtr-Mir-430-o7_5p (mature (co-guide))
Source: RNAcentral